This 369-nucleotide ribosomal RNA is filed under the name uncultured bacterium. RNAcentral's name for it is "bacterial SSU rRNA". It matches the Rfam family "Bacterial small subunit ribosomal RNA", at positions 420 to 806 of the family's 1533-position model. The record is from RNAcentral.
GGUAUGUAAAGCUCUAUCAGCAGGGAAGAUAAUGACGGUACCUGACUAAGAAGCACCGGCUAAAUACGUGCCAGCAGCCGCGGUAAUACGUAUGGUGCAAGCGUUAUCCGGAUUUACUGGGUGUAAAGGGAGCGCAGGCGGUGCGGCAAGUCUGAUGUGAAAGCCCGGGGCUCAACCCCGGUACUGCAUUGGAAACUGUCGUACUAGAGUGUCGGAGGGGUAAGCGGAAUUCCUAGUGUAGCGGUGAAAUGCGUAGAUAUUAGGAGGAGCACCAGUGGCGAAGGCGGCUUACUGGACGAUAACUGACGCUGAGGCUCGAAAGCGUGGGGAGCAAACAGGAUUAGAUACCCUGGUAGUCCACGCCGUAAA